RNAcentral lists this ribosomal RNA (664 nucleotides) under uncultured bacterium. RNAcentral describes it as "bacterial SSU rRNA". It matches the Rfam family "Bacterial small subunit ribosomal RNA", at positions 77 to 741 of the family's 1533-position model. The record is from RNAcentral.
CCCUCGGGUUACUUUAGUGGCAAACGGGUGCGUAACGCGUAAGCAACCUGCCCCAAACCGGGGGAUAGCCUGGCGAAAGCCGGGGUAAACCCGCCUGGUUCCCUUUGGCAGCAUUGCUGGGGGGAUAAACAUUUAUGGGUUUGGGAGGGGCUUGCGUCUGAUUAGGUAGUUGGUGGGGUAGUGGCCCACCAAGCCGAUGAUCAGUAGGGGUUCUGAGAGGAUUGGCCCCCACAUGGGUACUGAGAUACGGACCCAACUCCUACGGGAGGCAGCAGUAGGGAAUAUUGGGCAAUGGGCGCAAGCCUGACCCAGCCAUGCCGCGUGGAGGAUGAAGGCGCUCAGCGUCGUAAACUUCUUUUAUCUACGAAGAACAGUGGUUGUGCGCAAUCAUGUGACGGUAGUAGGUGAAUAAGCACCGGCUAACUCCGUGCCAGCAGCCGCGGUAAUACGGAGGGUGCAAGCGUUGUCCGGAUUUAUUGGGUUUAAAGGGUGCGUAGGUGGGGGGCUAAGUCUGGUUUGAAAGCAGGUGGCUCAACCAUCUGAUGUGGCUGGAAACUGGUUUUCUUGAAUGGGUUGGCGGUAGCCGGAACGGGUCAUGUAGCGGUGAAAUGCAUAGAUAUGACCCAGAACACCGAUUGCGAAGGCAGGCUACUAGGACUUGAUU